RNAcentral lists this ribosomal RNA (253 nucleotides) under uncultured bacterium. Its description in RNAcentral is "partial 16S ribosomal RNA". It matches the Rfam family "Bacterial small subunit ribosomal RNA", at positions 524 to 776 of the family's 1533-position model. The record is from RNAcentral.
UACGAAGGGGGCUAGCGUUGCUCGGAAUCACUGGGCGUAAAGGGCUCGUAGGCGGGUCUUUAAGUCAGGGGUGAAAUCCUGGAGCUCAACUCCAGAACUGCCUUUGAUACUGAGGAUCUUGAGUUCGGGAGAGGUGAGUGGAACUGCGAGUGUAGAGGUGAAAUUCGUAGAUAUUCGCAAGAACACCAGUGGCGAAGGCGGCUCACUGGCCCGAUACUGACGCUGAGGCACGAAAGCGUGGGGAGCAAACAGG